Molecule: ribosomal RNA, 407 nt
Filed under: uncultured bacterium
Lineage: Bacteria
Also listed under: 1 other name
Description: partial 16S ribosomal RNA
Rfam family: Bacterial small subunit ribosomal RNA
Source: RNAcentral
UGGGGAAUAUUGGACAAUGGGCGGAAGCCUGAUCCAGCAACGCCGCGUGAGGGAUGACGGCCUUCGGGUUGUAAACCUCUUUCGGUAGGGACGAAGCGCAAGUGACGGUACCUACUAAAGAAGCACCGGCCAACUACGUGCCAGCAGCCGCGGUAAUACGUAGGGUGCGAGCGUUGUCCGGAAUUAUUGGGCGUAAAGGGCUCGUAGGCGGUUUGUCGCGUCGGGAGUGAAAACCAGGUGCUUAACACCUGGCUUGCUUUCGAUACGGGCAGACUAGAGGUAUGCAGGGGAGAACGGAAUUCCUGGUGUAGCGGUGAAAUGCGCAGAUAUCAGGAGGAACACCGGUGGCGAAGGCGGUUCUCUGGGCAUGACCUGACGCUGAGGAGCGAAAGUGUGGGGAGCGAACA